This 253-nucleotide ribosomal RNA is filed under the name uncultured bacterium. RNAcentral's name for it is "partial 16S ribosomal RNA". It matches the Rfam family "Bacterial small subunit ribosomal RNA", at positions 524 to 776 of the family's 1533-position model. The record is from RNAcentral.
UACGUAGGGUGCAAGCGUUGUCCGGAAUUAUUGGGCGUAAAGGGCUCGUAGGCGGUUUGUCGCGUCUGCUGUGAAAACCCGAGGCUCAACCUCGGGCCUGCAGUGGGUACGGGCAGACUAGAGUGCGGUAGGGGAGAUUGGAAUUCCUGGUGUAGCGGUGGAAUGCGCAGAUAUCAGGAGGAACACCGAUGGCGAAGGCAGAUCUCUGGGCCGUAACUGACGCUGAGGAGCGAAAGCAUGGGGAGCGAACAGG